This 21-nucleotide non-coding RNA is filed under the name Caenorhabditis elegans. Lineage: Eukaryota; Metazoa; Nematoda; Chromadorea; Rhabditida; Rhabditidae. The record is from RNAcentral.
UGGUAUUAAAAUUUUUUACUC